This is a non-coding RNA of Megalopta genalis, 254 nucleotides long. The record is from RefSeq and is a predicted model, not a curated record. NCBI's taxonomy places the organism in Eukaryota, Metazoa, Arthropoda, Insecta, Hymenoptera, Halictidae.
CUAUCAGUUUCCUACAAUAUAAAUGUAGCUAGCGUAAAAUGUCGUCUAGACAAAGAUCUCAAGGUACUCAGACUGGAUAUGCCUGUUCAAAGUGCUGCAAACAGUAUUAAAUAAAUAAUAAAUAGAGAUCAAUCUUGUAAAUAGUUUUAUUGUAACAUUAUUUAUAUUUCGAAACAAAAAGAAGUAAUAUCUUUUGGUUUUUACUAUUUCUUCCUUUUUUUUUUUGAACAAUAAAACUUUAAUGAGCACGAUUA